AACUGAUACUACCUGCGGGAACCUGCGGAGGGAUCAUUAUCGUAUCUCUGACGGCGAGGGUGCGCCCAGCUCCGGACCGCAAGUCCGUGCAGCGGGAGAGCCCGAGCCGCUCAACUCCCAAACCCCUGUGCACCUUCACGGCAGAGGACGCCGGCGAGAGCUGCGUCCGAAGCCGCAUCACAGACUCGGUUCAAUAGAAUGUCUUGCGGGCUACGUCCGCCUAAACUUUAACAACUUUCA
RNAcentral lists this unclassified non-coding RNA (240 nucleotides) under soil metagenome. RNAcentral's name for it is "partial contains 5.8S ribosomal RNA, internal transcribed spacer 2, and large subunit ribosomal RNA". The record is from RNAcentral.